GGAAUUGGCUGCAAACUUAUUCAUGUGUUUUCUUUUCUUUUUGCUUGUUUGUUUUAGAAAUGGCUCCUCAGAGCCAUUUUCCAUUUGGGAUGGAGAAUUCUAAAAGAUACAACAGGCAUGAAGGAAUUGUGGAUUGCCCUGCAAGAUGCAUUAUUUCCAUCCAUUAACAUAUUCAGAUUAUUCCUUGGCCAACAAAAGAUAAUCCAAGAAGAAACACAAUACUUCAGUUUUUCUGAAAUUACAGAUUUGACUUAACCAGGUAUAUCUGCACAUUCUUCAGAAAAAAUUACUCUGGGCCUUCUCUAAGUCCACUAUUUUUCUGUAUUCUGCAAAGAUGUGUACAGACCAAGAUGUUUGUUAGGUCUUCAACUCUGUGAUGUGUUCCUAUGUAUCUAUGCUGUAUCUGCCUUUGCUACUGCCUAUUGAAAAAGAUGGGAGGGACUGUUUAUUUUUUAUUUCUAAUAAGAACUGGGGAUUUUUUCCCAUAUUUGAUGCA
RNAcentral lists this long non-coding RNA (496 nucleotides) under Taeniopygia guttata (zebra finch). Its description in RNAcentral is "lncRNA (ENSTGUG00000027994.1)". Lineage: Eukaryota; Metazoa; Chordata; Aves; Passeriformes; Estrildidae. The record is from RNAcentral.